CCUACGGGAGGCAGCAGUGGGGAAUAUUGCACAAUGGGGGAAACCCUGAUGCAGCGACGCCGCGGGAGUGAGGCAGUAUUUCGGAAUGUAAAGAGCUAUCAGAAGGGAAGAAAAUGACGGUAACUGACUAAGAAGCCCCGGCUAACUACGUGCCAGCAGCCGCGGUAAUACGGAGGGGGCAAGCGUUAGCCGGCUCUCCUGGGUGUAAAGGGAGCGUAGACGGCUAAUCAAGUCAGAAGUGAAAACCCAGGUCUCAACUUUGGGACUGCUUUUGAAACUGAGUAGCUAGAGUGCAGGAGAGGUAAGCUGAAUUCCUAGUGUAGCGGUGAAAUGCGUAGAUAUUAGGAGGAACACCAGUGGCGAAGGCGGCUUACUGGACUGUAACUGACGUUGAGGCUCGAAAGCGUGGGGAGCAAACAGGAUUAGAUACCCCUGUAGUC
Molecule: ribosomal RNA, 440 nt
Filed under: uncultured bacterium
Lineage: Bacteria
Description: partial 16S ribosomal RNA
Rfam family: Bacterial small subunit ribosomal RNA
Source: RNAcentral